GCGGGUGUAGCUCAGCAGUAGAGCGCCCCCCUUCCAGGGGGGAGGGGCAGUGUGCAAUUCCUGUCGCCCGCU
RNAcentral lists this transfer RNA (72 nucleotides) under Actinacidiphila epipremni. Its description in RNAcentral is "Streptomyces sp. PRB2-1 tRNA-Gly". It matches the Rfam family "tRNA". From Rfam's summary of the family: Transfer RNA (tRNA) molecules are approximately 80 nucleotides in length. Their secondary structure includes four short double-helical elements and three loops (D, anti-codon, and T loops). Lineage: Bacteria; Bacillati; Actinomycetota; Actinomycetes; Kitasatosporales; Streptomycetaceae. The record is from RNAcentral.